GCUGCCGGCCAUCGUGGAGCUGGUGGCCGGGUUCCUGGGCCAGAGCCCCGAGGACGUCGCGCUCGCUACUGCCUUCAACGCGCUGAAGAUCUUCGGCCUCAGCCAGUAGGGCGCCAUCCACUGUCCAGUCAACGUCCUUGGUAAACUAAAUCUUGGGUUUAAGGACAAAGGAAUAGGGACACGUAGUGCGGACUAUUGUAGCUACAGACAGGGCCCGUUACCGGUAUAACUAAAUAUCACAUAUCAUUCACAAUAUUUUUUUGCUGUUCUAGAAUACUAAAUUAAAUGCGAAAAUAUACAUUAACAACCCCGAUACCGACAUUGAAUACGGGUUAAUUUGAAUGAAAAAUAUACCGAUACCGGUCCCUGGCUACAGCUGGUGUAGACGGCAUUCAAUGUUUAUCAGAUGACUGGCUUGUUAUAUGUUAUCGCUUCAGCACCUAAGUAGUUAAACACCGUUGGGUAUCAUUUCAUUGCGCGUUUUAGUACCCACUACUCUCAUCUGAUCACGUUCGGUACAAAACUUGGAACGAGUUUUCGUACUUGUCGCGACUUUACUCGUUUAAAAAAAACAGGAUUGGAUUCUAAUAAAUUUCCUGUAUUUUUUUUUUAACUAUAAAAUUAUAUUAACAUAAAAUUGUCUUUGUUACAUGGGUUUAAAUAGCCACCUCUUAUUUAGUUUACCAAGGAACACAUACGCAAUAUUUAGGUAUCCUUGCUUAUAAUUGAGAAAUUAAUAUGCAUAAUAUAUUUAUUUUUUAUAAUUAAGUAAGACGACGAAAUUAUAAAUGGGUCAAGGAAUUAAGUGCCUUUAAUCAACAAUAAGAGAUCGAUUAUUAGAACGACCAAAAAAUAAUGUUUAUAAAUAUCAUUAUUUAUUAAUCUUAUAUAAUCAUGUAACAUGAAUUAUAUAUAGGUUGCUAUAAGCGACCGGUCGUAAAGGUAAAAUAUUGUUUGUAUGUUGUAUGAUAAACCCAAAAAAUAUGGACUAAGUAUAAUGUUUAACCCGUUGGCUACUAGCGUCACUAAAGUUGACGACAACGUUAACCUUUUGAACGCCACAGACGGUAAUUGACGUCAACGCAAAAACGCCGGCGAAAGUCUGGAAAAGCAAUACUCAGAUACGGAAACGUGACAACGAUGCCAAAGAUGGCACUUGAUGUCGAUCGUUUUUUGAUAAAAAUCUACUGAAAAACACCCCACUUUUGGGUCGGCAUUAUUUAUUCACAAACAAAAUUUUACCCCCGUGGCGUCAGUGGCACGGCAAAUGGAUGCGCCGUUUGGCGUUCAAAGGGUUAAAUAAUGAAUCUUAUGAUAAUGUCGAUUCAUUCUCGAUUAUAUAUGCUAAUAAUGAUGUCAAUUAUUGGUUAAAAUGGUCUUAACUCACUAUUGAGUAAUGGCGUAUGUUUUGAUGGUAUCUUCAGACGUUAUUAAUUUAAGAAUACGAAGUGGCCGUAGCUAAAUUAAUUUAUUUGAAUUAAUUGGAAAUCGCAGACCAAAUGUAACAGAAAGAUAUUUAAAUAUUUAAGGAAAAAGGUUCUUGUAAGUUUUAAUUUUAUUGAUAGAGUACCGGUCUCUGUCAAAAAAACAUUCAUGUGCCCUAAUCCUUGGUGCCAUUGACAUUAUCUAAAGCUAUAAAUAUAUGUUGUCCAGGCAGCUAAAACAUAGUAUAAUUUCUACCCGCCUAAACGUCAAUGUGAAAACAAAGGUCCAGAAUAGAAGGACCUUUUUAUAGGCCUCUGGGCGGCUAGAGUAUAAAACAAUUAAUGUAUGUCGUUGGCAUCAAGUAUCGGGUUUACAUUGGACUCGGCAACUGCGUAAAUUAGGCCUCAGCUACGGCCGGCGAAAGUCUCGAAAAGCAAUACUCAGAUAUGGAAAAGGUGUGCAUUUCUGAUCUAAAAAUUGGCAAUACGAAGGUUGAUCGAAUGGUUAGGCUAACAAUUAAUUUUAAAGCAAUAUUCAUUUAGUGACUUGACCCUUUAAACGCUGGUAUAUAUUCUUGACGUCAUAACACGUCAGAAGCAUUUAAAGGGUUAAAGUUUGAACUGAUUGCAUUCGAAUAGUCUUGCCAUUGACUAAUGACUAACUAUAUGUUCAAUUGGCUAUGAAAACUAAUAUACUGUGACUUAUCGAGUCGUUAUUGGCUCUCUCUAAUAUAAUUAUGACAGAAUGACAAAUUGAAAUGAUUAUGAUUACAUUUAAUGAUUGAAAAAUAAAACGUGAGUAUUUGGGACGAGCGUUAAAACCACUAUGACAAAGAAGAUAUGCCACUUUAUUGAAAAAAAAUUGGUUUAGUAUUGCCAGGCUAAAAAAAGUUCACACUACCCACGUUUUAUUUUUAUUAAGAGCGUACCUGAACGCAAUGUUCACUAAUUAAUGCCAUUUAUAAACGCUCACGAACCGAGCAUAAUAUGACGCGAUUUAUUAUUAUUGUCUAUUUUUAAUUAUGAAGCUUUUUAUGUUGUUUAGCGUUUUGCACAAGUGUUUCCUUAUAGUGGCAACUUUGCUUUUAGUCAGAAUGAUCUCAAGUCCGUGUGUGUAUGCCUUGAUAAAUACUUGCCAUUUGUGGCCUUUAAUUUUACUAUAGACCGUAGGCAUUUUUAAACACUACUUUCGUACCAUAACUUUGCCAGAUAAGGACGGGAGUAGUAACCCUUUCCUCGCUAAUAGUUCCAUAAAACUUUGCAACAAAGAAUAAUAUAAUCCAUAUUCAAAGUUAUAAUUAUUUUGAAAAUUUUCGCCACUACAAUUGCACGUAAUUGAGGGCAAAGGACCCAUAAAAAAGUCAUUAAUUUAAAUGACAAAUAUUAGAGAAUGGAUCCUUUUCGCUAAACUUUGUCCAAUGCCCGACUAUAAACGUCAUUAGCAUUGAAAGGGUUAAAGUCAAGGUCAUAUUACGAACAGUUCCAAAUAUCGACGCAUCACGACUCCGUCUGGCGAUUUGUCGCCAUAUUGUUUAAGAUGUACGUCUCCGGAGUUGCGCUGCGUUCUGCCAUUAGAUUAUAAGCAUAGUUCAUAUUGCCUUCAGUAAGCUAUAAGAGUCGAAGCAUUUGCCUCGGACGAGACAUGUCUACACCGACAAGUUGCCUCGUGAGGCGGCUUCCGUUUGUAAAAUCAAUAAAAUGAAUUCAGCUAACGAAAAUGCUUAUCAAGCGCCUUUUAUUCUGGUUUUGAGCCUUGUUUUCUAAGCAGUAAAAUGCGAAAAUGCUAAACAGUCUUAUGGCUAACUGUGUCCGAGUACUGUUGCCACUAUUUCUUCCGUGCACGGUGGUAGUUCUAAGCAUAGCUCUGCGCAGAGUACUAUAUUUUCAUCGAAUACAUUAUAUUGUAAAUAGUUACUUAUAUCCUUGUUGAAUAAUGCUGGUAGUCACAACGAAAUCAAAGACUGCAAGUAUUAUUGGAGAAUUAAAUGUUAAUUGUUUUGUACUGUAUUUUUUACAUAUUUAAUCGCUAAAGUAUUGUUGAUUCCUUUAUUUUUUGACAAUCAUGUUGUAGUUGUAAGGUACCCGGGUGUAUUUGCUAAGUGUUACAAGUGAUUAUGUAAAUUAUAUAGUUAUUGUAAAUACGUACCCGCGGGUAUAGUAGUGCCUUCGACAAAACGUCCUUUUGUGAUAAAAUAUUAUUUUCUGUAGAUUGUACAGAUUAUUUCUUUCAAUAUACAAUUAAAUAAAA
Long non-coding RNA from Cydia fagiglandana, 3672 nucleotides. RefSeq lists it as uncharacterized. The transcript is spliced from 2 exons. The record is from RefSeq and is a predicted model, not a curated record. Lineage: Eukaryota; Metazoa; Arthropoda; Insecta; Lepidoptera; Tortricidae.